CUGACUUGCUAAUGGCCAGCAGUGGACAACCGCCGCCCUCAUACAAGCCUUAUCGUCUUCACAAAACCUUGAGAGCUCACGAUCGCGCGGUCUCCUGUGUAAAGUUUUCCAACGACGGCACCCUUCUAGCCUCGGCCUCCCUCGAUAAAACCCUAAUCAUCUGGUCGGCCUCAACCUUCUCCUUCCUCCACCGCCUCGAGGGCCACUCUGAGGGCGUCUCCGAUCUUGCUUGGUCCUCGGAUUCCCACUACAUCUGCUCUGCCUCUGACGAUCGCACUCUCCGCAUCUGGGAUGCUCGGCCCCCCUUCGACUGCCUUAAAACUCUCAAAGGCCACUCCGAUGUCGUAUUCUGCGUGAAUUUCAAUCCUCAGUCCAAUCUCAUUGUCUCCGGCUCCUUUGACGAAACGAUUCGAAUUUGGGGGGUGAAGACUGGAAAAUGCAUUAGUGUGAUUAGAGCUCACUCUAUGCCGGUUACCUCGGUGCAUUUUAACAGGGAUGGUUCUUUGAUUGUUUCGGGGAGUCAUGACGGGUCUUGCAAGAUUUGGGAGGCGUCGACGGGAGCGUGCUUGAAGACGCUUGUUGAGGAUAAGGAUCCGGCAGUGUCAUUUGCCAAGUUCUCUCCCAAUGGAAAGUUCAUUCUUGUGGCUACUCUUGACAGUACUCUUAAACUUUCGAAUUACUCUACUGGGAAGUUCUUGAAGAUUUACACAGGUCACACGAACAGGGUGUACUGCAUAACCUCAACAUUCUCUGUGACAAAUGGGAAAUACAUAGUUAGUGGGUCAGAAGACAAGUGUGUUUACUUGUGGGAUCUCCAGCAGAAAACUAUGGUUCAGAAACUUGAAGGUCAUUCUGAUACUGUCAUUUCUGUAACCUGUCAUCCAACUGAGAAUAAGAUAGCUUCUGCUGGCCUUCAUGCUGAUAGAACCAUUAAAGUUUGGAUUCAAGAUCCCUGAAUUGGUAACAUCGGAGAAAGGUUUUCGGAUUGACUGAUCAUUAGUCAAGAUCUUUUACCUUAUGAACUGUUGAAAGACAUUUCAUGUCUCAUUGUAAUCCAUACAUAAUUAUAUAAUGUAUAAUGUGGACUAAAAAGCUAUAUUUCAUUUGCCAAUUCAAACUGAUUUGGUUCUAUCAGC
RNAcentral lists this unclassified non-coding RNA (1136 nucleotides) under Hevea brasiliensis (rubber tree). Lineage: Eukaryota; Viridiplantae; Streptophyta; Magnoliopsida; Malpighiales; Euphorbiaceae. The record is from RNAcentral.